RNAcentral lists this ribosomal RNA (192 nucleotides) under Triticum aestivum (bread wheat). Its description in RNAcentral is "partial small subunit ribosomal RNA". The record is from RNAcentral. Lineage: Eukaryota; Viridiplantae; Streptophyta; Magnoliopsida; Poales; Poaceae.
ACCAGGUUCUCCGACAGAGAGUCCCCCACGAACCCGAUCCGGCGCCGCCUGGCCGCCGCGAGGAACGCGGCGGGAUCGAGCCUCGGGACGGCGCCGCAGCGGGAGGGGGCCCAGGAGAGCGCGGCGACGCGGGGGCGGCCGUUGCGGAGGCAGUUCCAGGCGUUGCGGUGGAAGGGGCAGGAGUUGGUGUAG